Molecule: ribosomal RNA, 401 nt
Filed under: bacterium
Lineage: Bacteria
Description: partial 16S ribosomal RNA
Rfam family: Bacterial small subunit ribosomal RNA
Source: RNAcentral
UGGGGAAUUUUGCACAAUGGGGGAAACCCUGAUGCAGCGACGCCGCGUGAUUUAGAAGGCCUUCGGGUUGUAAAAAUCUUUUCUAUGGGAAGAAAAUGACAGUACCAUAGGAAUAAGGACCGGCUAAUUACGUGCCAGCAGCCGCGGUAAUACGUAAGGUCCGAGCGUUGUCCGGAAUCAUUGGGAGUAAAGGGUACGUAGGCGGGUAAGCAAGUUAGAAGUGAAAUCCUAUAGCUCAACUAUAGUAAGCUUUUAAAACUGCUCAUCUGGGGGAAUGAAAGGAAAGUGGAAUUCCUAGUGUAGCGGUGAAAUGCGCAGAUAUUAGGAGGAAUACCGGUGGCGAAGGCGACUUUCUGGCCAUAACCUGACGCUGAGGUACGAAAGCGUGGGUAGCAAACAGG